CUCUGAGACAGGUGCUGCAUGGCUGUCGUCAGCUCGUGUUGUGAAAUGUUGGGUUAAGUCCCGCAACGAGCGCAACCCUUAUCCUUGUUUGCCAGCGAGUAAUGUCGGGAACUCCAGGGAGACUGCCGGUGAUAAACCGGAGGAAGGUGGGGACGACGUCAAGUCAUCAUGGCCCUUACGAGUAGGGCUACACACGUGCUACAAUGGCGCAUACAGAGGGCAGCAAGCUAGCGAUAGUGAGCGAAUCCCAAAAAGUGCGUCGUAGUCCGGAUUGGAGUCUGCAACUCGACUCCAUGAAGUCGGAAUCGCUAGUAAUCGUGAAUCAGAAUGUCACGGUGAAUACGUUCCCGGGCCUUGUACACACCGCCCGUCACACCAUGGGAGUGGGCUGCAAAAGAAGUGGGUAGUUUAACCUUUCGGGGAGGACGCUCACCACUUUGUGGUUCAUGACUGGGGUGAAGUCGUAACAAGGUAGCCCUAGGGGAACCUGGGGCUGGAUCACCUCCUUA
RNAcentral lists this ribosomal RNA (509 nucleotides) under Vibrio splendidus. RNAcentral describes it as "bacterial SSU rRNA". It matches the Rfam family "Bacterial small subunit ribosomal RNA", at positions 1027 to 1533 of the family's 1533-position model. The record is from RNAcentral. RNAcentral also lists the same sequence under 5 other names. Lineage: Bacteria; Pseudomonadati; Pseudomonadota; Gammaproteobacteria; Vibrionales; Vibrionaceae.